RNAcentral lists this transfer-messenger RNA (349 nucleotides) under Thermoanaerobacterales bacterium. It matches the Rfam family "transfer-messenger RNA". From Rfam's summary of the family: Bacterial tmRNA, also known as 10Sa RNA or SsrA, is named for its dual tRNA and mRNA-like properties. Its role is to liberate the mRNA from a stalled ribosome. The record is from RNAcentral. Lineage: Bacteria; Bacillati; Bacillota; Clostridia; Thermoanaerobacterales.
GGGGGCGUUUGGUUUCGACGGGGGUAGUAUGGGCGAGAGUAGCGAGUCGAGUUUCCACUCGUUAACUGGAAAACCUAAGUUAAACGCAGAUAAUAAUUACGCAUUCGCUGCUUAAUUAAAAGUAGCGCACUUUACCGGACUUUCGCCUGUGAAGACCGGAUAAAGUGUCAUAUGAAGCAGGCUAUAUCCCUUUAAAGCCUUGAUAAAGGGAAAGAAAAUAAGAGGCUAGUAUUGAGAAAAUCCCGCCCUUUGGAGUUUCACAAUGCGAAAUCAAAAUAAAGGGCUAUACUCGUAGAAACUUUCGUUGGUAUACCUUCGGACAGGGGUUCGAUUCCCCUCGCCUCCACCA